RNAcentral lists this small RNA (1057 nucleotides) under uncultured Micrococcineae bacterium. RNAcentral's name for it is "bacterial SSU rRNA". The stretch from base 1 to 496 matches the Rfam family "Bacterial small subunit ribosomal RNA", at positions 1045 to 1533 of the family's 1533-position model. The record is from RNAcentral. Lineage: Bacteria; Bacillati; Actinomycetota; Actinomycetes; Micrococcales.
AUGGCUGUCGUCAGCUCGUGUCGUGAGAUGCUGGGUUAAGUCCCGCAACGAGCGCAACCCUCGUUCUAUGUUGCCAGCGGGUUAUGCCGGGGACUCAUAGGAGACUGCCGGGGUCAACUCGGAGGAAGGUGGGGAUGACGUCAAAUCAUCAUGCCCCUUAUGUCUUGGGCUUCACGCAUGCUACAAUGGCCGGUACAAAGGGCUGCGAUACCGCAAGGUGGAGCGAAUCCCAAAAAGCCGGUCUCAGUUCGGAUUGGGGUCUGCAACUCGACCCCAUGAAGUCGGAGUCGCUAGUAAUCGCAGAUCAGCAACGCUGCGGUGAAUACGUUCCCGGGCCUUGUACACACCGCCCGUCAAGUCACGAAAGUCGGUAACACCCGAAGCCGGUGGCCCAACCUCGCUUGCGAGGAGGGAGCUGUCGAAGGUGGGACUGGCGAUUGGGACUAAGUCGUAACAAGGUAGCCGUACCGGAAGGUGCGGCUGGAUCACCUCCUUUCUAAGGAGCACUGGCAUCUGCGUCGCUCGCUUCGGUGGGUGGGGUUGGGUGUCCAGGCCUGCGCCUCGGCCGUUCGCGUCGGGGGUAGGGCUCAAGGGUGGAACAUCGACUAUGGCUGAUCGGCCAGUUGGUUCGUGGUUAGUACUCCUGGGGUUCGCUCCGGGGUGGAACGUCGUGGGCCUGCGGGGUUGGUUGGUCUUGGCACGCUGUUGGGUCCUGAGGGAACGGGCGAAAGCUUGUUGCUUCAGGUCACCAGCUCCUCGAUCAUGAGGGGGGUGACUGCUAGCGGAUCACACUGCAACCGGUUCAGGCCGGCUCGAAGAACGCCACCACGGUGGCCAGGACACGGGUCGAGUGCGGUGAAGGUGUGGGACCGCCCGUAGCUUGAGAACUGCACAGUGGACGCGAGCAUCUUUGUAAGAUCUUUGUGGUCAAGUUUAUAAGGGCACAUGGUGGAUGCCUUGGCACUAGGAGCCGAAGAAGGACGUUGUAGCCUGCGAUAAGCCUCGGGGAGUUGGCAAACGAACCGUGAUCCGAGGAUUUCCGAAUGGGGAAACCCGG